RNAcentral lists this ribosomal RNA (254 nucleotides) under uncultured bacterium. RNAcentral's name for it is "partial 16S ribosomal RNA". It matches the Rfam family "Bacterial small subunit ribosomal RNA", at positions 524 to 776 of the family's 1533-position model. The record is from RNAcentral.
UACGGAGGGUGCGAGCGUUGUCCGGAAUCACUGGGCGUAAAGGGCGCGUAGGUGGCUCACGCAAGCGUGCGGUGAAAGCCCGGGGCUCAACCCCGGGUCGGCCGUGCGGACUGCGGGGCUCGAGCACUGUAGGGGCAGAUGGAAUUCCGGGUGUAGCGGUGAAAUGCGCAGAUAUCAGGAGGAACACCGGUGGCGAAGGCGGGUCUCUGGGCCGAUACUGACGCUGAGGAGCGAAAGCGUGGGGAGCGAACAGG